This is a long non-coding RNA of Mustela lutreola (European mink), 269 nucleotides long. RefSeq lists it as uncharacterized. The record is from RefSeq and is a predicted model, not a curated record. NCBI's taxonomy places the organism in Eukaryota, Metazoa, Chordata, Mammalia, Carnivora, Mustelidae. The transcript has 2 exons.
ACAGUCACUAAAUACCUUAGUGCCAUCACCCAGGCCCUCGAGAAUGACAAUUCCCCCCAGAAAAUCUGUGUGAAAAUCAGGAUGUGCAGACCAGAAAUAGGUCUUGGAGCCUCUGGGGCCUUACCCGACCCCCAGGAGAAGCACAGCAUCUUCAACAACCAUCACCAGCUCCUGCCUUCCUAAAUCCAGGGUAGACCCUCCAGUUUCCCUCACCAAACUCUUUGUAGCGCCCUCCCCUGGUAUAGAAUAAAAUGUCAUGCAAACUUGUA